UUUACUUCUCUCACUGUCCGUGAGUGACACCUAGCAGUAUAUCAUGGCAAUCCAGAAUGAUGAUGAUUAAUUAGAAACAUUUCCGCUAACAGUUACCGUGUGAUUAAUUCCUUCCAACACACAAUAUCCCGAUCGAACCAAAGUUAUGGUUACUCGUCAAAUCUUAUUAUUCGAUCAUAUGAAUAGAACAUCUAAAACUGACUCAAUAUGGUAACAUAGCUGGAAACUAUUUCCACGCAUCACGUAUCCUG
RNAcentral lists this long non-coding RNA (251 nucleotides) under Ananas comosus (pineapple). Its description in RNAcentral is "long non-coding RNA (ACOM_LNC003596)". Lineage: Eukaryota; Viridiplantae; Streptophyta; Magnoliopsida; Poales; Bromeliaceae. The record is from RNAcentral.